Molecule: long non-coding RNA, 1280 nt
Organism: Lolium rigidum
Lineage: Eukaryota; Viridiplantae; Streptophyta; Magnoliopsida; Poales; Poaceae
Exons: 8
Source: RefSeq, a predicted model, not a curated record
CUCACUUCACGCAUAACCUGAACAGAUUUGGUUGACACUUGACAUCCAUAGAAAUUUUGCCGAUAAUCAUAACCUGUGUUAGUUUACAUUUUCUCCCAGUUAUUUACAUCUUACUCUCAAUUAUCCUUCAGUUUGCGUGUCCUAUCUGUUGCCUUCUCCAUAAUUAUUUCUAUUGACUAUUUAUUCUCGUCAUGGAAGAGUCUUCUUAUGCUUGUUUUGCAAAUGAAUUAAAUCCUCCAUAAUAACAUGUCAUAUCACUCGUGGUCUGCUGUCUGCUGUCUGCUAGCUAGGUGCACGCCCAGGAAUGCCUCUGUUCAUUAAGUAUAUUUUCCUUUUGGUUUGUAUCCUACAGACUUAAGUACUUGCUUGGAAUGUUUGCUUGUUAGAGUGCUUCUCGUUCAUCAGGGAGCCCACUCGAAUCCUUGAAAAUACUCUUGCUCCCUAACUGACUUACAUUAAGCUAUAUUCCGUUCUGAAUGCUCAUUUCUAUUCUCCUUUUCGCUCUUAGGUUAUUCGUAGUUGAGUGGGAGAACCAGCUUGUUAGUUCUGAACAAGGAUGUUGAGCUGCUAUUAAACAUCUUGAAGAAGUGCCACGACGCUCCUCUAUGCUCACAACUUCCAUGUCUACGUUGCGCUGGUGAAACAGCGAGACCCGGAGGGUAGCUCGGCUUCCGAGUCCGUGCCGCCGUCCGGGGCAAGACUGGAACUUGCCCAAGAGAGACAACGAUGCUGGUUCAAGGCUGAGUCUUGAGCGCGACCUACUUGGGAGAAGCAAUGCAUCAUCAGGCAUCAACUUGCUUGUGGUGUGGUGUGCUGCAUUAGCACCUCUGUAGUACAGGAGAGUUGCUGCUGCAGUUGCCGUCUCUGACAUAAGAAGUGCCGAAUCAUUUAACAAAGCAUAUUACUAGGUUUCCUUUGUACUAUGAUGAGUGCAAGUCUUGUGCCUGAUCAGCGGUGAUGGUUCCAGUCAUGCUCAAAAUGCCGCAGGUUAGCCACUGUGUAUGGAUCAGAGUACAUAUGCAAUGGAGGAUGUGGUUUCGACCAAGGCUUAUAUCCAAUGGAUUUGGCUUGUGACAGAGUCUGCCUUCAUUUCCUCCCAGUUAAUCGUCUCGUGUAUGGCAAUGAUCCCAACAACUCUUGAUAUCAAAUGACUGUUGUAACCCUUCUCUUGUAGAUAACAGAUGUAGUGUCAAGCUGCUUGUCACCAAGGCCCUUCUCUUGUAGACAACAGAUCGUAGUGUCAAGCUGCUUGUCACCAAGGCCCACCGCGGUGACCUCGA